Molecule: ribosomal RNA, 468 nt
Filed under: uncultured bacterium
Lineage: Bacteria
Description: partial 16S ribosomal RNA
Rfam family: Bacterial small subunit ribosomal RNA
Source: RNAcentral
GACGAACGCUGGCGGCGUGCUUAACACAUGCAAGUCGAACGGAAAGGCCCUGCUUUUGUGGGGUGCUCGAGUGGCGAACGGGUGAGUAACACGUGAGUAACCUGCCCUUGACUUUGGGAUAACUUCAGGAAACUGGGGCUAAUACCGGAUAGGAGCUCCUGCUGCAUGGUGGGGGUUGGAAAGUUUCGGCGGUUGGGGAUGGACUCGCGGCUUAUCAGCUUGUUGGUGGGGUAGUGGCUUACCAAGGCUUUGACGGGUAGCCGGCCUGGGAGGGUGAACGGCCACAUUGGGACUGAGGUACGGCGCAGACUCCUACGGGGGGCAGCAGUGGGGAGUAUUGCACAAUGAGCGGAAGCCUGAUGCAGCAGCGCCGCGUGCGGGAUGACGGCCUUCGGGUUGUAAACCGCUUUCGCCUGUGACGAAGCGUGAGUGACGGUAAUGGGUGAAGAAGCACCGGCUAACUACGUG